UUUUUGUUUUAGAAAACCAUCCUAACUCACCUAUGAGAGCUGAAGGGUCAUACACUACCUAUAGAUAAGGUACUGCGUACAAGUGAGCACUGACAGUCAUUUUCCUGUCUUCUUAAUAAAGUGUCGUAUUUAAAGCAAAUUUAACAAGGUCCUGAAGCCCUUUAAAGUUUAAGAGUUACAAUAUAUGAACGCAUUUAUGAAUACUGCAGUAUUCAUGAUUGCCUAAGGUAUAUUGACAUUAGUAUGACAGCCCCUAGAUUAGCAUUUCAAUGGGGUUUUUGUGCUCACAGCUGCAAUGCAGACCUGCACACAGUGCUGAGUCAGGGUUCGGUCCCUGAACUGUCACCCGUUCAGCUCCUGCCCCAGCUCAGGCCACGAAGUUAUCAGCAUCUCUUCCAUUGAGCUCAGUAGAAACAAAUUCACCAUCCACCCCAGCCCUGCCUUAGGUGGGAAGAGAUCUGGCUUGAGAUAAACACCAUUUCCCCGAAUAGCAAAUGCUCAACUGAACUAACCUGCAGGCACAAUUCACAAAGAAAUACAUGCAAACCCUUGAUCGCUUUUUUAAAUUCCAGCCAGGAAGGCUCUAAUUUAAAUGGACUCAGGGAAAAAAAACCCAGACAGGUACAGCAACUGUGAGCGAUUUCUGAGCACAGUGGGAGGAAAAGGGACUCUCCUGCUUAGGAUGAAGCACCCACAGCUUCUCUGGGGAACCUGUGCCAGGGUCUCAACACCCACAUAAUGGAGAAUUCUCUACAUCAUAAUAGCUGUCCAUUUAAAGCCAUUUCCCCUUGUCCUGUCACUACAGGCCCUUGUCAAAAGCCCCUCUCCGGAUUUCUUGUUGUCCCUUUAGGCACUGUAAGACUGCUCUAAGGUCUCCCCGGAGCCUUUUCCAGGCUGAACCAUCACAACUAUCUCAGCCUGUCCCCAUAGCAGAGGUGCUCCAGCCCUCGGAGCAUCUUCGUGGACUCAUCUGGACUCCAAGACAUCUGUGUCCUUCUUAUGUUUGGGGCCCCAGAGCUGGACACAGUUCUCCAUGUGGGGUCUCACAAGAGCAGAAUAGAGAGGGAGAAUUCCUUCCCUUGACCUGCAGGUCAUGUUUCUUUUGAUGCAGCCCAGGAUAUGGUUGGUUUUCUGGGCUGCAAGUGCACACUGCUGGGUCAUGUUGAGCUUCUUAUUAACCAACACCCCAAAGACCUUCUCCUCAGGACUGCUCUCAAUCCAUUCUCUGCUCAGCCUGUAGUUGUGUUUGCCACUCACUGAACGGCAGGAGACUAAUCAUGUGGCCAACACAAGCGCAAGGCAGCAUUAUCUAAACCACUAUCUUAAAACUCAAGUGGGGCUCAAAUGAUUUACAAGUCUCUAUGCAAGAUCAUUCUAGCAACAAUUCCUUGUCUUUCAACACAACAUAUAAUUUUAUGCAUUUUAAGAUGCUAUAUAAUUGCAAAAUACAUUGAAACAACCAGAACUCCUUUGCGUAGACAUAAUAAAGAUACCCUUUGUUCACCUCAGAGAAGCAUCUGCAGUGAUGGCACAGAUGUUUAAGGUUGUUCCCUAACAGCUCCCCCAUAGAAAUUCAUACCAAAAUAAAUGUCCUUAAGCAGUUUCAUGGCCCUCAUGAUACUAGAAUGUGAUAACCUCAUCCAAGAGCCCAGCUGAAAAGACCGGCCACUCAAAAUUAAUUUGUUGGGAUGGAAAUCCUCAGCAGAGCAGCCAGAGGGUGCACGGGGAUGAGGACUGAGCCACCGGCCUCUCAGGAGUGGAGCAUGGAAGUCAGGAUGCAGCCUCCCUGCUGGGUCAGUCCCUGCAUCCAGCCCUGCCUUCCUCACCAGCAUGAAUUCUCUCAGUGGUGGGAAAGUUAAUGUGAUUGAUUCUACUCUUUCUGCAGCACAUGUCUUCGCAACUGCUCACAUGGGAUUUGUUUAUGAAUCCGGCUGUUGUCACUACAUUUGUGAUCGGUAUUAAAUGAAACAGGGGGAAAAAAAAUCUACAGUAAAUGUAGGACUAUGAAUGGGACUUCGGUUGUGGUCCCAGAGGUAACAUACACAGUAUUUUGCUAAAUUUAACAUGAUAAAAAAAAAAA
Long non-coding RNA from Strigops habroptila (Kakapo), 2080 nucleotides. Lineage: Eukaryota; Metazoa; Chordata; Aves; Psittaciformes; Psittacidae. The record is from Ensembl.